CCUACGGGUGACAGCAGUAGGGAAUCUUCCACAAUGGGCGAAAGCCUGAUGGAGCAACGCCGCGUGGGUGAAGAAGGUCUUCGGAUCGUAAAACCCUGUUGGUAGAGAAGAAAGUGCGUGAGAGUAACUGUUCACGUUUCGACGGUAUCUAACCAGAAAGCCACGGCUAACUACGUGCCAGCAGCCGCGGUAAUACGGAGGUGGCAAGCGUUAUCCGGAUUUAUUGGGCGUAAAGGGAACGUAGGCGGUAUUUCAAGUCUAGGGUGAAAUCCCUGGGCUCAACGGGGGAAGUGCAUUGGAAAGUGGCAAACUGGAGUGUGUAAGAGGAUAGUGGAAGUCGAGGUGUAGGAGUGAAAUGCGUAGAUAUCUGGAGGAACAUCAGUGGCGAAGGCGACUAUCUGGCACAUAACUGACGCUGAGGAGCGAAAGCGUGGGUAGCAAACAGGAUUAGAUACCCCAGUAGUC
RNAcentral lists this ribosomal RNA (465 nucleotides) under uncultured bacterium. RNAcentral's name for it is "partial 16S ribosomal RNA". It matches the Rfam family "Bacterial small subunit ribosomal RNA", at positions 338 to 795 of the family's 1533-position model. The record is from RNAcentral.